This 72-nucleotide transfer RNA is filed under the name Chelonia mydas (Green sea turtle). It matches the Rfam family "tRNA". Rfam says of the family: Transfer RNA (tRNA) molecules are approximately 80 nucleotides in length. Their secondary structure includes four short double-helical elements and three loops (D, anti-codon, and T loops). Further hydrogen bonds mediate the characteristic L-shaped molecular structure. tRNAs have two regions of fundamental functional importance: the anti-codon, which is responsible for specific mRNA codon recognition, and the 3' end, to which the tRNAs corresponding amino acid is attached (by aminoacyl-tRNA synthetases). tRNAs cope with the degeneracy of the genetic code in two manners: having more than one tRNA (with a specific anti-codon) for a particular amino acid; and 'wobble' base-pairing, i.e. permitting non-standard base-pairing at the 3rd anti-codon position. The record is from Rfam by way of RNAcentral. Lineage: Eukaryota; Metazoa; Chordata; Testudines; Cheloniidae.
GGCUGGGUGGCCUAGUGGAUAGGGCACUGAACUGGGACUCAGGAAACCUGAGUUCUAUUCCCAGCCCAGGCC